ACCUACUUAACCCUUUCCCUCCCAUUUAUCUCAUCUACCAGCUAUCCCUCCACCACGAACGCCACACCCCAACGCUUUUUCGAUAUAGAAAGGACCCUUACCCGCUAAAAAACCAGGCCGGCUUUUGGUGGUCUUAUGGCUUUUUAGAGGGACUGUAGGCGUUUAGCUUAAGGAAGUUUGAGGCAAUAACAGGUUUGUGAUGCCCUUAGAUGUUUUGGGCCGCACGCGCGGUACACUGACAGAGGCAGCGAGUUUUUUUCCUUGGCCGGAAGGUCCGGGUAAUCUUGUGAAACUCUGUCGUGCUGGGGAUAGAGCAUUGCAAUUAUUGCUCUUCAACGAGGAAUACCUAGUAAGCGCUGAGUCAUCAGCUCGCGUUGAUUACGUCCUGCCGUACCCGCGAAAG
Molecule: ribosomal RNA, 403 nt
Filed under: uncultured Schizophyllum
Lineage: Eukaryota; Fungi; Basidiomycota; Agaricomycetes; Agaricales; Schizophyllaceae
Description: bacterial SSU rRNA
Rfam family: Eukaryotic small subunit ribosomal RNA
Source: RNAcentral